Molecule: ribosomal RNA, 1120 nt
Filed under: uncultured beta proteobacterium
Lineage: Bacteria; Pseudomonadati; Pseudomonadota; Betaproteobacteria
Description: bacterial SSU rRNA
Rfam family: Bacterial small subunit ribosomal RNA
Source: RNAcentral
UUUGAUCCUGGCUCAGGAUGAACGCUGGCGGUAUGCUUAACACAUGCAAGUCGUACGAAGAUUUUUGAUCUUAGUGGCGGACGGGUGAGUAACACGUGAGAAUCUACCCUUAGGAAGAGGAUAACAGCUGGAAACGGUUGCUAAUACUCUAUAUGCCGAGAGGUAAAAGGAUUUAUCUACCUUAGGAAGAGCUCGCGUCUGAUUAGCUUGUUGGUGGGGUAAAAGCCCACCAAGGCGACGAUCAGUAGCUGGUCUGAGAGGACGAUCAGCCACACUGGGACUGAGACACGGCCCAGACUCCUACGGGAGGCAGCAGUGGGGAAUUUUGGACAAUGGGGGAAACCCUGAUCCAGCAAUGCCGCGUGAGUGAAGAAGGCCUUCGGGUUGUAAAGCUCUUUUGUCAGGGAAGAAACACCGGCUCUAACACAGUCCGGGAAUGACGGUACCUGAAGAAUAAGCAUCGGCUAACUCUGUGCCAGCAGCCGCGGUAAUACGUAGGGUGCGAGCGUUAAUCGGAAUUACUGGGCGUAAAGCGUGCGCAGGCGGUCAAGCGGUGGAUGAUGUGGAUUAAUUCGAUGCAACGCGAAAAACCUUACCUACCCUUGACAUGUCACUAACGAAGUAGAGAUACAUUAGGUGCUCGUAAGAGAAAGUGAACACAGGUGCUGCAUGGCUGUCGUCAGCUCGUGUCGUGAGAUGUUGGGUUAAGUCCCGCAACGAGCGCAACCUUUGUCUUUAGUUGCUACGCAAGAGCACUCUAAAGAGACUGCCGGUGACAAACCGGAGGAAGGUGGGGAUGACGUCAAGUCCUCAUGGCCCUUAUGGGUAGGGCUUCACACGUCAUACAAUGGUGCAUACAGAGGGUUGCCAACCCGCGAGGGGGAGCUAAUCUCAGAAAAUGCAUCGUAGUCCGGAUCGUAGUCUGCAACUCGACUACGUGAAGCUGGAAUCGCUAGUAAUCGCGGAUCAGAAUGUCGCGGUGAAUACGUUCCCGGGUCUUGUACACACCGCCCGUCAUACCAUGGGAGUGGGUUUUGCCAGAAGCCGUUAGCCUAACCGCAAGGGGGGCGACUGCCACGGCAGGGUUCAUGACUGGGGUAAAGUCGUAACAAGGUAGCCG